This 393-nucleotide ribosomal RNA is filed under the name Xanthobacter flavus. RNAcentral's name for it is "bacterial SSU rRNA". It matches the Rfam family "Bacterial small subunit ribosomal RNA", at positions 19 to 442 of the family's 1533-position model. The record is from RNAcentral. Lineage: Bacteria; Pseudomonadati; Pseudomonadota; Alphaproteobacteria; Hyphomicrobiales; Xanthobacteraceae.
CAUGCUCAGAGCGAACGCUGGCGGCAGGCCUAACACAUGCAAGUCGAGCGCCCAGCAAUGGGAGCGGCAGACGGGUGAGUAACACGUGGGGAUCUACCCAAUGGUACGGAAUAACCCAGGGAAACUUGGAUUAAUACCGUAUGUGCCCUUCGGGGGAAAGAUUUAUCGCCAUUGGAUGAACCCGCGUCGGAUUAGCUAGUUGGUGAGGUAAAGGCUCACCAAGGCGACGAUCCGUAGCUGGUCUGAGAGGAUGAUCAGCCACACUGGGACUGAGACACGGCCCAGACUCCUACGGGAGGCAGCAGUGGGGAAUAUUGGACAAUGGGCGCAAGCCUGAUCCAGCCAUGCCGCGUGAGUGAUGAAGGCCUUAGGGUUGUAAAGCUCUUUCGCCGG